Molecule: ribosomal RNA, 492 nt
Filed under: uncultured bacterium
Lineage: Bacteria
Description: partial 16S ribosomal RNA
Rfam family: Bacterial small subunit ribosomal RNA
Source: RNAcentral
AUUGAACGCUGGCGGCAUGCUUUACACAUGCAAGUCGAACGGUAACAGGCCUUCGGGUGCUGACGAGUGGCGAACGGGUGCGUAAUGCAUCGGAACGUACCCAGAGGUGGGGGAUAACGCAGCGCAAGCUGUGCUAAUACCGCAUGUGAUCUGAGGAUGAAAGCGGGGGACCGAGCAGCAAUGUUUGGCCUCGCGCCUUUGGAGCGGCCGAUGUCGGAUUAGCUAGUUGGUGGGGUAAAGGCCUACCAAGGCGACGAUCCGUAGCUGGUCUGAGAGGACGACCAGCCACACUGGGACUGAGACACGGCCCAGACUCCUACGGGAGGCAGCAGUGGGGAAUUUUGGACAAUGGGCGCAAGCCUGAUCCAGCAAUGCCGCGUGCGGGAAGAAGGCCUUCGGGUUGUAAACCGCUUUUGGCAGGAACGAAACGGUGUCCGCUAAUACCGGGCGCUAAUGACGGUACCUGCAGAAUAAGCACCGGCUAACUACGUG